This 8130-nucleotide long non-coding RNA is filed under the name Brassica napus (rape). RNAcentral describes it as "long non-coding RNA (BNAP_LNC001418)". The record is from RNAcentral. Lineage: Eukaryota; Viridiplantae; Streptophyta; Magnoliopsida; Brassicales; Brassicaceae.
CGAAUUGGGAGCUGGAAACCCAAAAAAAGCUCGAAUGGCGGUUUACACAGUGAUGGUUAUCACAGGAGUGGAAGCACUGAUGGUGAGUGCGAUAGUCUUUGCUGCAAGAAACGUAUUUGGUUACCUAUUCAGCUCUGAAACCGAAGUUGUGGAUUAUGUAAGAACAAUGGCUCCUCUGGUUUCUUUAUCAGUCAUAUUCGAUGCUCUUCACGCAGUUCUUUCAGGUUAGAAUCUGUUCCUAUAGUACUGUUGAAGUCAUUGAAUAAUUAAGAGACUAACUUAAUGAAUAAAAACAGGUGUGGCUAGAGGAUCAGGGAGGCAAGACAUUGGAGCAUAUGUUAACCUAGCUGCAUAUUAUCUUUUUGGAAUACCAACUGCUGUUGUAUUAGGAUUUACGUUUAAAAUGAGAGGAAGAGGACUCUGGAUUGGUAUCACGGUCGGGUCUUGUGUACAAGCUGUUUUGCUUGGUCUUAUCGUCAGCCUCACCAACUGGAAACAACAGGUUAGUAAAUUACUGAAAGUGAUACGUACGUCUUUUAAUUUGAUAUGUUGGUUUCAUACAUUUAAUGAUUGUAUGAUUAGUCCAUGUAAGAGAGUUAAGUGAAAGUGAUGUCUAUUUAAUAUUCAUGUGAAUCAUGUGGGCAUUGCAGGUGAGGAAGGCAAGAGAAAGAUUGAUGGGUGAUAAGUUUGAAGACGACGAACAUGUAGAGAUCAUCAGUUAAAAUCAAAAGAGUUAUUGGAUCAUUAUUUUGUCAUUUAAUGUUGUUUUUUUCAUAUUUCAGAAUACAGUAAAACAGUAAUGGGAAGGAUUAGAAUGUGCACACACAUGUACGUGCACAUGAGUUAUGGCAUCUACUUUCUUUCCCAUACACAUGAACAUGAAGUUAUUUUCCUAUCAAAUUAAAGGUUAAUAAUCUUUAAUCAAACAAUAUUAGUUAUUAAGAAAAUGUCCAAAACAAAGGCCUUGUCUAGUUAAUUUGAAAUGGAAUAAAAUCCUAACUAGAGACACUUUAAAGGGUUGGGCAUCACUCCCAACCGAAUCCAAUCCAAAAAAUCUGAACACAAACCUGAUCAAAUUUAUAAAAAAUACCUAAAUGGAUAUUGAGUUAGCACAAACGGUAUAUCCAAACCUGAUCAUAUAAUAUUUACUCCAUAUAUAUAAUAUCGAAAGUUAAUCCGAGCAUAUCCGAAAUUGUUAACAUAAUUCUCUCCUAAACCCAAAAUAUUAUGUCAUUUGUUAAUAUGUUUUAUAUUUUGUUUAUUUGAAUUUCAAUUUCAUUUUUAGAUAUUUGUGUUUGUUUGGAAAUAAAUAUAAGAUCGGAUGAAAACACUUAAAGAGAUGACAAUAUUUUAGGUAUUUUAAAAGAUUAUGUAUCUGUAUAUUCAGUUAUAUUCAAAUUCUUGGAUUCAAAGCUUACCAAACCGAACCCUACCUAAAAUAUGAAAAGUACUUGCAUACAUAGUUGAUUCUUAGACCAAAUUAUCAAAAAAUCUGAAAUAUCCGAACCAAAUCAAAUCCAAAAAAUAUUCGAAUGCUUAAACCUACUAAAAUUAAACCACUAUUUUUCAAGGUUCUCGGUCUUCUUAAAUUUCAGUAUUUCAGGCAUUGCCUGAAUUUUGUGUGUUCUUCAGUAAUAACUAUCUAUUCUAUUAACACUGAAGUACAAAAAACUUCUUGCCUUUUUUAAAGUGGGUUUCUAACCAUUUAAUUUAUUAUUUUCAUUUAAGUUAAGUGUUUUAUUACAGUUUUUAUAUUUUUUUUAACUCUUCUAAAUUACUUCAUUAAUUGCAUUUACUUUAAUAAUUCAAUGUCAUUUAUUAUGCGUAUUAACCAAAAUAAUUUCACGUGUCAUAAUUGCUCCAUUAGUAAAAAAAAAUUUAAACCAGUUAACAAAUUUUUUUAUUUGUUUACAUAAUCAGUUAGACAUGAGCUUUCAGGUAUACGUUUGGAUAUAGAUCGGUUUUUACGUGUAUCGAGUUUUUGAAUGUUAAAAUUAAACUAUAUUCGAAUAUUAUAAAUUAUCCAGGGUACUUAGUGGGGAUUAUGUUCACUAUAUCUUCAAGUCUUCUGUUAUACUUCUUGGCCAUAACAUUCAUCUUGCCAAAGCAUUUAUUGGUUGGGGCAUUAGGAAGCAAGGCUCUUGCAGGGACACAUCCUACUGGACCUAAAGAGAAGAUGGCGAUGCGACGAGCUCCUAGUUUGUAGAUUUGAUCAAUGGUUUUGUUAACUUGGGUUAACAUUGAGUCUACAUAGUCGUCUGGAGAGAGUGUAGUGGUUUGGAAUGGAAGAAAGUAGUUAAAGAUGUCGUUGGAACCAGACUCUAAUAAGAAGAGAGAUUCUUGGAUUACAGAUUUUUCUAUUUUGUUCUGCUCUACAAGUGUUUGGAAUUGCUGAAGUUGCGUUUGGAUCGGUGUCACUCUCUGGAUUUAUACAUGUAAACGGAUGAUUCAUAAGAAACAAAACAUUAAGAGAGAGAGAGAGAUGUUAUAGUUAUAUAGUUACCAUGUCUUUGUUGGUAUCAAGCAAGAAUCCACUACCGGCACUGGCGAAGUUAAUGCCAUUAGAAGGGAAUCGUUUUAAAGUUCUGUUCAAGAUUUGGAUCUGCAGUUCCAAGAAUGAUUUCUGUAAUGGAAGACCUAUAAAUUGCGCUGCAAGGAAUCAAGAAAAUAGAGAAAAGUAAGGUGUCUUGAGGAAAAAGCAAGUAAUUAAAGAGUUGGGAGGCAUUAUUAUUACAUAUGAAGUCAGCUACGGUUCUUCCAUUGGUGAACCUCCCGGUAGGUUGGUGGAAGAAGGAAGAGCCAUAAGGAGGAAAAUCAGCUUGAGCAGUGCAGUUUUUGUUGAAAUGAUUGUUUCCUGCGUCGAAAAUGGAGUCGCCAAAGGUAAAGAUGGCAGGAAGGGAGGGAGAAGACUUGGCCAGAGCCACGGGAGAGGCUAGAAGGAGCAGAGUAACGAGUAAGUCCAUUGAAGACAUGUGUGAGGAUAAAUUCAAAGACAUUAGUUAUAUAUAUUAACACUCACAUCAUUUAGAUUAGUGUAGAGUCAGUCACACUGAAAUUAAGGUAUGUAAAAAUUUGCAACGGAAAGGCAAGAGCAUUGUUCAUGUUUAUACAGUUUCUCUUUGGUGUGAUUAAAGUUAGAGGUUGUUCCCAAUUUUCUUAGUUAUAGAUGAUUCCUGUGACUGUUCAAUUACCUUAAAAACAACAUUAGAAAAUAAACUAUAUUAUCUAACUAGUAUUUAUUAACUAAUUAGAAAAUAAAAUUUUAAGAAUUGUGUUUCUAUCAUGUUUUCAAUUUCUCUAUUAUCAAAACAUAAUAACUAAAAAAAAUCGAAAUAAUGAUUUGCAAUUUGUCGAAAAACAAAAUAAAACACACUUAUUUUCUUGCAAUUUUAAUGGACCGUAUGGGCCUGACCUCAAAAGCUUAUCGAUUUUAGGACAAAAAUAAUAAAAAAAAACAAAUGGAGAGGCAUCAGGAAAAGGAGACUCUAAAAGAAUAAAAACAUAUUCUCAAAGCAUCAGAAAAUGCCCAAAGCAACAGGGGAGCCUCUCUCCCUCCUUUAUUACCCCCUGAGCCGAAACCCUAAUUUUCAAAAUUCACCAUCCCUAGAUGAAGCGCAUCGUCAGAAUCUCAGUCACCGACGCAGAAGCCACCGAUUCUUCCAGCGACGAAGACACGGAGGAGCCCUGCCGAGAAACAACAACAACAGCCCAGGUCCGCCGCCGCCGCGGGAAACGCCUCGUCAAGGAGAUCGUAAUCGACCCUCCCGACUCCGACGACAACCGCGACGCCUGCAAGACGCGGUUCAAAAUCAGGAUCCCGGCGGAGUUUCUCAAGGCGACGGCGGAGGGGGGGAAGAAGAAGUUCCGCGGAGUGAGGCAGAGGCCGUGGGGGAAAUGGGCGGCGGAGAUCAGAUGCGGCCGAGCUCUCAAGGGACGCCGCGAUCGUCUCUGGCUUGGGACUUUCGACACGGCGGAGGAAGCUGCUCUUGCUUAUGAUAACGCGGCUGUUCAGCUUAUUGGACCUCACGCGCCGACCAAUUUCAGUUUCCCGGCGGAGAGCCAAGAGGUGAAGAUGGUGGCCGGCGCAUCCGCCGUUGCUCGAGUCGCUUAAUUGGGGAUUUGUUUUGUCAUUUAGUUGGUCGUGUUGAAUUAGCAAUGAAGGUCUGUUGUAAUGGACUUUGUAAAUGAAUCUGUCUGUGCUGAAUCUCCUCAUGUUGCUUCUGCUCUUGCAUGUUGUGGUCUCUCUGUGUAUGUGUUUGUUACAUCGACGACGAGAUUGAAACCCUGAAAUAAAGAUUAGGAAAGUUGGGGUUUUUUGAAUCGGGACUUAUUCGUUAUAAGAGGAAACUCACCUGGAGAUAGAUUGGAGAUGUUUUAAGUGAACCAAACCAACAUUCCUAAUCCAAUCAAUUUCGGGUUAGUUAUUCGUUAGAAUUCAGUUUAUAAUAACAAAACGAACUUAAUUGAACUGAAUAUUAACCGAACGAAACCAAAAUAAUGAAGGUUGGGCAUAUAUUCAGAGUUUCGGACCCAUCGAAUUCAAUCCAGAAAAUAUCCAAAAUUAUAUAAAAUGUUUAUAACAUAUUUUUUUCUUAGAUCUAAAUAUUUUCUGUGUGUGUUUUGUUGACAGAUUAAGUGUUUUAGUUAUUUGAACCUCAAUUUAUUUUUUGAUAUUUAUGUUAGUUUGGUCUAAAUAUAAGUUUAGAUGAAAACCCCAAAAACAUUUUAAUAUUAUAUGUAUUUUUGAAUAAUUAAUACAAAGAUAUAAGAUUUUGGUUACACCCAAAGGUUUCUGAAUCCAAAACUUACCGAACCCUCUGAUCCACAGAAAAAAGGAAAAUCUGAAUGGAUAUUAAAUUUCUAAACUGAAUAUUCGAAAAUAUGAAUGACUGGACCGAAUCCAAACGAUAUCUUGACCCUCAUGACUACUUUGAAUAGAGGUUUUUCACUGAUUAGAGUUCAAUUGCAAUUACUAAAAAGAAAUUAACAUAACUGAACCCGGAAAAAUAACUAAACCACUAGUUUGAAAAUAUAAUUUGUAAAUAUGUAAAGCUAUUCGAACACUACACAAUUAUUGUUUCUAUAAAUGUACUUGUGUGUAGUUAUUCAUAUUUUUGUACAUGGAAAAACUUAAAAACAAGAAAAGAAUCAAAUCGCAAAAAAAAAGGAAUCAAAUUGCCUACUAAUUUGUCGCCACCAUAAAAUACAAACAUUGUACUAAUGGCUUCACUAAACUAAUUUAUAUGUUUUUUGCAUCUUUUGAUCCUUGUAUGUGUUCAGCUAUACAUGUUUAAUUCCUAAUUUGCUAGUAGAAGCCUAUGAAAACUUUAGGCGGCCGAAGGAAACGUUUUUUCCUUUUCCUUUUUAGAGGAGUAGAAGAAUCACAAUACGGCUGACCGCUAAAUUCCAAAAGGAAAUACUUAAAAAUUAUGGAGAUUGGAAGCAAACAUCUCUGAAGAAAACAAGAAAAGAGUGAGGAAACACAUUGAGUGGGUUUAAAAAAGGCAUACAAAUUUUCGCUUGUAUCGUUGAUUAUAAAUUUGAAAAUGGGUGGUUCCCAACUUGACAUGAUAUAAAAGCAUGAAGAGUUUUUGUUUUUUAGUGAGUGCCUUGAAGAGGAAGACACAAGCAUCCGUAUUGCCAAUAUAAUCAACAUUGAAACUAAAUUUUAACCAUUUCUAAUAUAUUUUGCUAUUUUAUAGUAUAAAAUAGAAUAAUUGUAAGGUAAAAUUUAUUCUAAUUCACUUUAAAAUAGCAUUCUUAUAUAUUCUAAAUAUAAUUAAAUGUUAUUUUUCUAAAAUAAAGAAAGAGAAAAAACUAUUUCAAAAAAAUGGAUUGGAAUAAAUUUACCUCUAAAUAAUAUUACAUGUAAAUAUAGACAUGAAUUGGAAAUGUUAUAAUAAACAUUGAAACUCUUUUAACCAAUCAGAGAACUAUAAAUUUUGUUCUCUUUUAACAAAUUACAAUGUAUUUAAGUUUGGUAAUUUCAAUACAGAAACUUUUCACCAACGGUUGAUCUCAGAUGCGUUUUCUUAAUUAGGCAUCAGUAUAAUGCCCCAAUUAGAUGAAUGACAGAGAACACAUGCAUUGGUGACAAAGUGAGACGCUGCUGCAUCUUGAAGAGGUAUAGAAUCAUAACACGACACUCCGCUAACUUCCACAAAUAUAAAUAACUCCUACUACUACUACUAUACAAAGUAGGGAGACUUUUAUUAAUAUUCAUCACAAAUCUCGAAGUCUCCGGAGAAACAGCAGAGAACUCAGGAAAAAUGGACACGGCGGAGAAGGGUCUGCUCGCUCUGAGCGGCGGAGGAGAAGAAGAAGUCAGCACGAGAGAUCGGUUUCUCCGGGAGAUGAGGAGGCUCAGUUACAUAGCAGGUCCCAUGAUUGCAGUAAACUCUUCCAUGUACUUUCUCCAAGUCAUAUCGAUCAUGAUGGUUGGUCAUCUCGGUGAGCUUUACCUCUCCAGCACUGCCAUAGCCGUUUCUUUCUGCAGUGUCACCGGCUUUAGCCUCGUCGUAUGAUCUCUUUCUCUAUCCUCUCUUCUCUUGAAAAACCAGUUCUAAAAAUCGCGGCGACCCCCAAAAAAUCGACCACCUAAACAAUAAUCCUCUAUUAAACGCCUAACCUAUUUUUAGAACAUUGCGAAAAACUAUGCCAACUAAGAUUUUGGAGCUAUAUAUAAUUUAGUAAAACAUUUAAUAAAAAUAUUUAGUAAGAAUUUUAAUAAAAAGAAAAGAUCUAUGUUUAUGUAAAUUUUUUAAAAAAAAAUUGUUUACAGUUUGGAUUGGCUAGUGCGUUGGAGACUUUAUGUGGUCAAGCUAAUGGAGCUAAGCAGUUCGAGAAGCUUGGCGAACAUACUUACACAGGGAUCUUCUCUCUGUUCAUUGUUUCUAUCCCUUUGUCUGUUCUCUGGAGUUACAUGGGUGAGAUACUCUCUUUCAUCGGACAAGAUCCUCUUGUUUCUCAAGAAGCAGGAAAGUUUGCCACUAGGCUCAUACCAUCACUCUUUGCUUACGCGACAUUACAACCACUUGUUCGGUUUUUCCAAGCGCAGAGUUUGGUUUUGCCUUUGAUUAUGAGCUCAAUGUCUGCUCUGUGUUGCCAUGUUGUUCUUUGCUGGAGCUUGGUUUUCAAGUUUGGGCUUGGAAGCUUAGGUGCAGCUAUUGCGAUCAGUGUUUCUUACUGGCUUAACGCAACUGUGCUUGGAUUGUAUAUGACGUUUUCUUCUACCUGUAGCAAGACUCGUGGGAAGAUCUCCAUGAGUGUGUUUAAAGGAAUGAAAGAGUUUUUUCGAUUUGGAGUCCCAUCUGCAUCUAUGAUUUGGUAUGAACAACCUCUUUGUUUCUUAUUUGGUUUUGGUCACACUGUAAUGAUCAUAUUAUUGUGUGUUAUGGUGUUGAAUUAGCCUUGAGUGGUGGUCAUUCGAAUUUCUUGUCAUGCUCUCUGGAAUUCUACCAAAUCCAAAGCUAGAAACCUCUGUUCUCUCAGUGUGGUAUGUUCCUUAUCUUUUAAACCGGUCCUACCAUUUUAGGGACCAAAAACAAUUUAGUAAGAAUUUUGAUAAAUCUAUUUUCUUAUCAAUUUAGGAGCAUAUGUUCAUUUAUACUGAUUUAAAAAUUUUGGAGAGCAAAGACCAAUGUUUCACUUCUCUAAGCCCAUGACCGGCUUUGCUUGUAUUUUGGAAUGAAAUAUCAUCAUAUAAACUUACUUGCAUGCUUCCUUGUUUUAACAGUCUAUCAACAAUCUCCUCCUUGUACCAAAUACCGGAGAGUCUAGGCGCAGCAGCAAGGUUCUUUCUCUCUUUUUUUUUUUUAUUUAAUAAGAAAAGGAGAUAUCUAAAAACCAUCUGAUCACAGCUGUCUUUAUAUUUUAUUGGUGUUGUAUGCAGUACAAGAGUUGCAAACGAAUUGGGAGCUGGAAACCCAAAAAAAGCUCGAAUGGCGGUUUACACAGUGAUGGUUAUCACAGGAGUGGAAGCACUGAUGGUGAGUGCGAUAGUCUUUGCUGCAAGAAACGUAUUUGGUUACCUAUUCAGCUCUGAAACCGAAGUUGUGGAUUAUGUAAGAACAAUGGCUCCUCUGGUUUCUUUAUCAGUCAUAUUCGAUGCUCUUCACGCAGUUCUUUCAG